RNA transcript from Musa acuminata AAA Group (dessert banana), 1698 nucleotides. It is a transcript of the gene named methionine aminopeptidase 1A, with no coding region annotated. The transcript is spliced from 19 exons. Lineage: Eukaryota; Viridiplantae; Streptophyta; Magnoliopsida; Zingiberales; Musaceae. The record is from RefSeq and is a predicted model, not a curated record.
CCUCGGUCUGACGUUCGAAUGGCGUAUGAACAGGAGCAACGCGGACUCGGGAGUCCUCCAUCCAGCCUCCUUUAUAAGGGCCGCUCGUGUCUCCGAGUUCAACCCUCCCUCCCAACCUCCUCUCUUCGCUCGGCAAAGCCCUAACCCAUCGUCCAGCCGUCCGACGCAACUCACCUGUUUCGCGAGCUGCCGACUUGUCUCGCCGGUCACCGAUUCAAGCACACCCACAGAAUCAGGUCUUUCAUGUGCUCGGUGUGGCAAACCAGCUUAUCUUCAAAGUUGGAAAUUCGAGUUACUUGGUGACAUGCCAUAUAAUUUGCAUCUCUGUCUACCAUUGUCACAAAAGGGAAGAUGUCCCAAAUGUGUAGAGCUAAAGCUGCCUCAAGAAGGUUCUACAUUCUGCACGCAGGAUUGCUUUAAAAUUUCAUGGAGCUCUCACAAGUUGGUGCAUCCGAAAUCAAAGUUAGCAAAUGUUAGAAGUGCACAUUCUGAACAAUCUCUAGAUGGUUGGCUAUAUUGCUUAAAGAAUGGCCAAGCUCGAACAUCUAAGCUUCCUCAUUUUGGUUGGACAGGAGCAUUAAGGCCGUGCCCAAUAUCCAAGCGGCGUUUGGUACCAGAUGGAGUUGAGAAACCUGAUUGGUCUAUUGAUGGUAUCCCCAAGACUGAGCUCAAUAGUGACUUGCAGAAUAUUGUGGAGAUCAAGACGCCAGAGCAAAUUGAACUAAUGAGAGAAACAUGCCGAAUUGCUAGGGAGGUUUUAGAUGCCGCUGCUUGUAUCAUCCGACCGGGAAUUACCACAGAUGAAAUUGAUGAGGUUGUUCAUCAGGCAACAAUUGCUGCUGGAGGGUACCCAUCCCCAUUAAACUAUCAUUUCUUUCCAAAGUCCUGCUGCACGUCUGUCAAUGAAGUUAUCUGCCAUGGAAUCCCAGAUGCAAGGAAACUCAAAGAUGGUGACAUUGUCAAUGUUGAUGUAACUGUAUAUUACAAAGGCGUCCAUGGUGAUCUAAAUGAAACUUUUUUUGUUGGGGAAGUGGAUGAAGCUUCUCAGCAGCUUGUUCGUUGCACAUAUGAGUGCUUGGAGAAAGCUAUUUCUAUAGUUAAACCUGGGGUUCGAUACCGUGAGGUUGGUGAAGUUAUUAGUCGUCAUGCAACAAUGUCAGGCUUCUCUGUGGUGAAAUCUUACUGUGGACAUGGCAUCGGAGAGUUAUUUCACUGCGCCCCAAAUAUUCCUCAUUAUGGAAGAAACAAAGCAGUCGGUAUCAUGAAAGCUGGACAAACUUUUACAAUAGAGCCAAUGAUAAAUGCAGGAGUAUGGCGUGACCGGUUGUGGCCUGAUGGAUGGACUGCAGUUACUGCAGAUGGUAAACGAAGUGCUCAAUUUGAGCACACACUUCUGGUAACAGAGACAGGGGUUGAGGUUUUAACAGCACGGGUGCCCUCAUCACCUGAUGUCUUCCCUUGGUUAAAGUUAAACCACCCUUAACCAUGUUUGGUUCUGCUAUGGGCUGCUUUUCCUGGAGCCAGUCAAGCCAAUUGUUCAAUUUGAAUCAACAGGCUGUUGUGCAUCUCAACCUUUGGCCCGCCAGACGUCACAUCCAUAUCCCAUGGUUUGAUAUAUAAAAGGGGUAAUUUUCUUGAUGAAUAUUUUAUAGAUGAGGUGAACUUGAUGAAUAUUUAUUGUUCUGCGGUGAACCGAAU